GAUGAAGAACGUAGUGAAAUGCGAUAAGUAAUGUGAAUUGCAGAAUUCAGUGAAUCAUCGAAUCUUUGAACGCACCUUGCGCCCUUUGGCCAUUCCGAAGGGCAUGCCUGUUUGAGUAUCAUGAACACCUCAACUCUUCAUGGUUUUCCGUGAUGAGCUUGGACUUUGGGGGUCUUGCUGGCCUAUGGUCAGCUCCUCUAAAAUAAAUCAGCUUGCCAGUGUUUGGUGGGUAUCACAGGUGUGAUAACUAUCUACGCUUGUGGUUUUCCACCAGGUAACCUUCAGCAGUGGAGGUUCGCUGGAGCUCACAGAUGUGUCUCUCCUCAGUGAGGACAGCUCUUUGAAUGUUUGAUCUCAAAUCAGGUAGGACUACCCGCUGAACUUAAGCAUAUCAAUAAGCGGAGGA
This 406-nucleotide unclassified non-coding RNA is filed under the name soil metagenome. RNAcentral describes it as "partial contains 5.8S ribosomal RNA, internal transcribed spacer 2, and large subunit ribosomal RNA". The stretch from base 1 to 121 matches the Rfam family "5.8S ribosomal RNA", at positions 35 to 154 of the family's 154-position model. The record is from RNAcentral.